AGUGAACGCUGGCGGUAGGCCUAACACAUGCAAGUCGAACGGCAGCACAGUAAGAGCUUGCUCUUACGGGUGGCGAGUGGCGGACGGGUGAGGAAUACAUCGGAAUCUACUUUUUCGUGGGGGAUAACGUAGGGAAACUUACGCUAAUACCGCAUACGACCUACGGGUGAAAGCAGGGGAUCUUCGGACCUUGCGCGAUUGAAUGAGCCGAUGUCGGAUUAGCUAGUUGGCGGGGUAAAGGCCCACCAAGGCGACGAUCCGUAGCUGGUCUGAGAGGAUGAUCAGCCACACUGGAGCUUAGACACGGUCCAGACUACUACGGGAGGCAGCAGUGGGGAAUAUUGGACAAUGGGCGCAAGCCUGAUCCAGCCAUACCGCGUGGGUGAAGAAGGCCUUCGGGUUGUAAAGCCCUUUUGUUGGGAAAGAAAAGCAGCAGGUUAAUACCCCGCUGUUCUGACGGUACCCAAAGAAUAAGCACCGGCUAACUUCGUG
RNAcentral lists this ribosomal RNA (492 nucleotides) under uncultured bacterium. Its description in RNAcentral is "partial 16S ribosomal RNA". It matches the Rfam family "Bacterial small subunit ribosomal RNA", at positions 29 to 507 of the family's 1533-position model. The record is from RNAcentral.